AUGACGAGUGGCGCACGGGUGCGUAACGCGUAUGCAAUCUACCUAUAACUGAGGGAUAGCCCAGAGAAAUUUGGAUUAAUACCUCAUAAUAAUAUUUUUUGGCAUCAUUAAAUAUUUAAAACUCCGGUGGUUAUAGAUGAGCAUGCGUUCUAUUAGUUUGUUGGUGAGGUAAAAGCUCACCAAGACUACGAUAGAUAGGGGGCCUGAAAGGGUGAUCCCCCACACUGGUACUGAGACACGGACCAGACUCC
This 251-nucleotide ribosomal RNA is filed under the name uncultured bacterium. Its description in RNAcentral is "partial 16S ribosomal RNA". It matches the Rfam family "Bacterial small subunit ribosomal RNA", at positions 88 to 339 of the family's 1533-position model. RNAcentral also lists the same sequence under 1 other name. The record is from RNAcentral.